GCCUGGCUGGCUUAAGUGGUGGAGCAUGAGACUGUCAAUCUCAGGGUCGUAAGUUUAAGCCUCACAAUGGGUG
RNAcentral lists this transfer RNA (73 nucleotides) under Ailuropoda melanoleuca (giant panda). It matches the Rfam family "tRNA". Rfam says of the family: Transfer RNA (tRNA) molecules are approximately 80 nucleotides in length. The record is from Rfam by way of RNAcentral. Lineage: Eukaryota; Metazoa; Chordata; Mammalia; Carnivora; Ursidae.